UCCUUCAGCACAUCUCCCCACCCGGAAGAAGAGGACUCUGGGCUUGGUGAGGGGAGGCCCCAGGAAGAGAACUGAGUUCUCAGAGGGCACAGCCAGCGUCCUCCUCUCAGGGGUCCAGCUCACAUGGGAAAUGCUCUCUGAGAGUCACGGACAUCCUGUGCAAGAACAUGAAGCAGCUGUGGUUCUUCCUCCUCCUGGUGGCAGCUCCCAGAUGGGUCCUGUCCCAGGUGCAGCUGCAGGAGUCGGGCCCAGGACUGGUGAAGCCUUCGGAGACCCUGUCCCUCACCUGCGCUGUCUCUGGUGGCUCCAUCAGCAGUAGUUACUGGUGGAGCUGGAUCCGCCAGCCCCCAGGGAAGGGGCUGGAGUGGAUUGGGCGUAUCUAUGGUAAUAGUGCGAGCACCAGCUACAACCCCUCCCUCGAGAGUCGAGUCACCAUUUCAAAAGACACGUCCAAGAACCAGUUCUCCCUGAAGCUGAGCUCUGUGACCGCCGCGGACACGGCCGUGUAUUACUGUGCGAGAGACACAGUGAGGGGAGGUGGGUGUGAGCCCAGACACAAACCUCCCUGCAGGGAGGCGGAGGGGGCGGGCGCAGGUGCCGCUCAGGACCAGCAGGGGGAGCGCGGGGAUCACAGAGCAGGAGGCCGGGUCAGGAGCAGGUGCAGGGAGGGCGGGGCUUCCCCAUCUGCUCGGUGCUCUCCCUCCUCACCAGCACCUCAGCUGUCCCCAGGGCUCCUCUUUGAUAUCUGUGGUUCUGCUUCCUCACAUCCUUGUGUCAGGGAAGAACGGAGGAAGACAAAUUUUCCUCUUACGGUCGAAAUUUCACCAAUUACUGGGAACUUUCCUACAAGUUCCUGCAGGGCCCAUUUUACCUUCUUUAUUAAAAAAUAUAUUCUAAUGCUUCUCACCAUCUCUUGA
This is an RNA transcript of Piliocolobus tephrosceles (Ugandan red Colobus), 917 nucleotides long. RefSeq lists it as uncharacterized. The transcript is spliced from 3 exons. The record is from RefSeq and is a predicted model, not a curated record. NCBI's taxonomy places the organism in Eukaryota, Metazoa, Chordata, Mammalia, Primates, Cercopithecidae.